This 441-nucleotide ribosomal RNA is filed under the name uncultured bacterium. Its description in RNAcentral is "partial 16S ribosomal RNA". It matches the Rfam family "Bacterial small subunit ribosomal RNA", at positions 338 to 795 of the family's 1533-position model. The record is from RNAcentral.
CCUACGGGAGGCAGCAGUGGGGAAUAUUGCACAAUGGGGGAAACCCUGAUGCAGCGACGCCGCGUGAGUGAAGAAGUAUUUCGGUAUGUAAAGCUCUAUCAGCAGGGAAGAAGCAAGACGGUACCUGACUAAGAAGCCCCGGCUAACUACGUGCCAGCAGCCGCGGUAAUACGUAGGGGCCAAGGGUAUUCCGGAUUUACUGGGUGUAAAGGGAGCGUAGGCGGUAUGGCAAGUCUGAGGUGAAAGCCCAGGGCUUAACCUUGGGACUGCUUUGGAAACUGUUGGACUCGGGUGCUGGAGAGGCAAGUGGAAUUCCUAGUGUAGCGGUGAAAUGCGUAGAUAUUAGGAGGAACACCAGUGGCGAAGGCGGCUUACUGGACAGUAACUGACGUUGAGGCUCGAAAGCGUGGGGAGCAAACAGGAUUAGAUACCCGGGUAGUC